GAAAUGCGAUAAGUAAUGUGAAUUGCAGAAUUCAGUGAAUCAUCGAAUCUUUGAACGCACCUUGCGCUCCUUGGUAUUCCUUGGAGCAUGCCUGUUUGAGUAUCAUGAAAUCUUCAAAGUAAGUCUUUUGUUAACUCAAUUGGUUUCUACUUUGGUAUUGGAGGUCUUUGCAGCUUCACACCUGCUCCUCUUUGUUCAUUAGCUGGAUCUCAGUGUUAUGCUUGGUUCCACUCGGCGUGAUAAGUUAUCUAUCGCUGAGGACACUGUAAAAGGUGGCCAAGGUAAAUGCAGAUGAACCGCUUCUAAUAGUCCAUUGACUUGGACAAUACUUUUAUGAUCUGAUCUCAAAUCAGGUAGGACUACCCGCUGAACUUAAGC
Molecule: unclassified non-coding RNA, 378 nt
Filed under: plant metagenome
Description: partial contains 5.8S ribosomal RNA, internal transcribed spacer 2, and large subunit ribosomal RNA
Rfam family: 5.8S ribosomal RNA (bases 1-105)
Source: RNAcentral